RNAcentral lists this ribosomal RNA (373 nucleotides) under uncultured organism. RNAcentral describes it as "partial 16S ribosomal RNA". It matches the Rfam family "Bacterial small subunit ribosomal RNA", at positions 527 to 896 of the family's 1533-position model. The record is from RNAcentral.
GUAGGUGGCAAGCGUUGUCCGGAAUUAUUGGGCGUAAAGCGCGCGCAGGCGGUUCUUUAAGUCUGAUGUGAAAGCCCACGGCUCAACCGUGGAGGGUCAUUGGAAACUGGAGAACUUGAGUACAGAAGAGGAAAGCGGAAUUCCACGUGUAGCGGUGAAAUGCGUAGAGAUGUGGAGGAACACCAGUGGCGAAGGCGGCUUUCUGGUCUGUAACUGACGCUGAGGCGCGAAAGCGUGGGGAGCAAACAGGGAUUAGAUACCCUGGUAGUCCACGCCGUAAACGAUGAGUGCUAGUGUUAGGGGGGUUUCCGCCCCCUUAGUGCUGCAGCUAACGCAUUAAGCACUCCGCCUGGGGAGUACGGCCGCAAGGCUG